UGGGCAACAUUUGCAUUUGUUUUUGUAGAUUUAGGCAUCUCUGGAUUUGUGGGUAGCAUGUUUUCAGUUUUCUUGUUUGCUAUAGCAAACUGAGGUGCUGGUUGGUCGAGAGGGCGCACGAUAGAACUUGUGGUGCGUGUCUGUAUUUCUGGGCAACAUUUGCAUUUGUUUUUGUAGAUUUAGGCAUCUCUGGAUUUGUGGGUAGCAUGUUUUCAGUUUUCUUGUUUGCUAUAGCAAACUGAGGUGCUGGUUGGUCGAGAGGGCGCACGAUAGAACUUGUGGUGCGUGAUGAAUACAUGGGAUGAUGUGCAUCUCUAAUAGUAAAGGUUUUUGAGCACAGGGUGGCAGAACACUAUGGUCUUCCAUUUAGAAUUGUUUAUAGGUAGGCAUUCAGAAUUUUUUUCCCGAAAAGUUGUGUUUGGAACAAUCCAUUUUUUUUGUACUUGUAGCGCACAUUGAAUAUUUAUGCAGUAUUUAGGUUAGACAAGUUGCAGUGGCUCUCUGAAUAGGAAUAGUACUUUGAUCACGUGCCAUGUCUGCCACCAGUAGGGCACCAGCUUUUUUACAAACUUCUGGUGUGCACUUCUUAGGACACUUGCAUAAUUUAUGGGUCAAAUGUACUAUGGAUUCUGUUGGUAAAUAUAUUUGCAAAUGUGGUACAGAUUUUGUCAUUGGUAAAAGUGUAGGAAGAAGCACAACAGGACAGAUGAAGUCGUUGCACAACAGGACAGAUGAAACUCAGACGCUCCACUAAAUCGAAAAGGACCAAAGCACUGAGUUCUACAAAGGAUUGUGGCCACAAUUAUCCACGUAGUAAAGCAGGAAUGGCAUCUCUGAAUAGUUGAAGACCAAAUCGCUGACUUCUACGAACGACUGC
Long non-coding RNA from Xenopus laevis (African clawed frog), 877 nucleotides. RefSeq lists it as uncharacterized. Lineage: Eukaryota; Metazoa; Chordata; Amphibia; Anura; Pipidae. The transcript is spliced from 3 exons. The record is from RefSeq and is a predicted model, not a curated record.